AGUGAACGCUGGCGGUAGGCCUAACACAUGCAAGUCGAACGGCAGCACAGUAAGAGCUUGCUCUUACGGGUGGCGAGUGGCGGACGGGUGAGGAAUACAUCGGAAUCUACUUUUUCGUGGGGGAUAACGUAGGGAAACUUACGCUAAUACCGCAUACGACCUACGGGUGAAAGCAUGGGAUCUUCGGACCUUGCGCGAUUGAAUGAGCCGAUGUCGGAUUAGCUAGUUGGCGGGGUAAAGGCCCACCAAGGCGACGAUCCGUAGCUGGUCUGAGAGGAUGAUCAGCCACACUGGAACUGAGACACGGUCCAGACUCCUACGGGAGGCAGAAGUGGGGAAUAUUGGACAAUGGGCGCAAGCCUGAUCCAGCCAUACCGCGUGGGUGAAGAAGGCCUUCGGGUUGUAAAGCCCUUUUGUUGGGAAAGAAAAGCAGCAGGUUAAUACCCCGCUGUUCUGACGGUACCCAAAGAAUAAGCACCGGCUAACUUCGU
RNAcentral lists this ribosomal RNA (491 nucleotides) under uncultured bacterium. RNAcentral describes it as "partial 16S ribosomal RNA". It matches the Rfam family "Bacterial small subunit ribosomal RNA", at positions 29 to 506 of the family's 1533-position model. The record is from RNAcentral.